This 4426-nucleotide long non-coding RNA is filed under the name Anolis carolinensis (green anole). RNAcentral describes it as "lncRNA (ENSACAG00000038432.1)". Lineage: Eukaryota; Metazoa; Chordata; Lepidosauria; Squamata; Anolidae. The record is from RNAcentral.
AUAAAUUGUGGCAAAAUCUUGAUGGUAUGGGGAGAUCAAUUCACCUUGUCUGUCUCCUGAGGAAUCUGUAUAAUCUUCAAGUAGCAACAGUCAGAACAGACCAGGGAACAACAGACUGGUUCAAGAGUGGGAAAGAAGUACGGCAGGGCUGUAUACUUUCAACCUCCCUAUUCAACUUGUAUGCAGAAAACAUCAUGUGAUGUGCGGGCUUGAUGAAUCCAAGGCUGGAGUUAAAACUGCUGGAAGAAACAUUAACAAUCUUAGAUAUGCAGAUGAUAGCAGUCUGAUGGCUGAAGGCAAGGAUGUGGAUGUGAGAGCUAGAUUAUAAGGAAGGCUGUGGUGUUGGAGGAAAAUUCCGAGAAUGCCUUGGACCACAGGAAAAUCGUAUCAGUCCAUACUCCAGGGAAUAAUGCCCGGCUGCUCACUGGAGGGAAGGAUAUUAGAGGCAAAGCUGAAGUACUUUGGUCACAUCAUGAGGAGACAGGAAAGCUUGGAGAAGGUCAUGAUGCUGGGGAAAUGGAAGGAAAAAGAGGGGCCGACCAAGGCGGACCUCCCAUUUUCUCCCCAGGCAGUCCAAAUUGCAAAAUAUCUUGGCUAGUCUGGAUUUUCUGGGAAUUGGAUCUUCUCCUUGUUUCACAGCUUCAACCAAGCAAGCUCUGCGGAUGAGGAAAGGCGGCUGAAAGGAAAAGAAGCUUUAGUUGUUUGCUUUGUAAGACAGGUGGGACUUAUCGAAAGUGAAAAAGAUCUGAGAUACAGGUGAGUCCUGCAAUGGGUAGGUAGCCAAUGCAAUACUGAUGUAGUUAUGCAAAGAUGGAAGUAUAUUCGAGUUCAAAGGGGAACUGGAGAUCAUACAACCAAUGCAAAUUCAAUGCAUGGUGCAAUUAUGGGAUACCUGUCACUUAUCCAACCAGCUUCUUCUUAACAUUUUCCACCAAAGGGAAGCUUCCAUAUCCUGUGGGAAUCUAUUCCAUUUUUUUAUCAUGUGAGAAGUGACUUGAGAACAUACUGCAAGUCACUUCUGGUGUGAGAGAAUUGGCUGUCUACAGAGAGGUAACACAUCUGGGGACACCUAGAUGUAUUACCAUCCUGUUGGGAGGCUUCUCUCGUGUCCCUGCAAGCUAGGGCUGAUGGACAGGAGCUCACCCCAUCUCACGGAUUCGAACUGCUAGCCUUCAGGUCAGCAACCCAACCUUUAGGUCAGCAGUUCAGCUGGCACAAGGGUUUAACCUAUCGCACCACUGUGGCUCCUUGUUAUUACAUAGUCAAAUAGUUCUUAUCAUUCGAUUAUCCUGAUAUUUAUCUGAAAUCUGCCAUAUCCAUCCACUGAUUGGAGCUAACAGCAAUAAUUUUCUUGAGCCUGGGCCCUAAGUGAUAUGUCCGCUAGCUCUUUGUCUUACCUUCAUUGCCUCUAAAUCUAUCUUCCUUCCCUUGUAGUCCUCCUAUACCCUGUUUCAAAGAUUCUCUUCCAAACAUCUUACAAAGAGCAGAUGUCAUCCUUUUGGGUAUUCUGGAUGUUCUAUUCCCUUCCAAUGAGAGUUCAGUAGGUUGUAACGGGUGAGGAUCUUUCCAUGGUGGUGUCCUACUUUUGAGAAAUAUCUCAGCAACUCACUGGCUCCUAAUACUUGUGUCCCAUAGCCAAACGACUAAGGCAUUUUCUAUUCUUCCUAAGUUUUAAUGCUGCCUCCAAAAUUUCACAGAUUAAAGCUGGGUUGAAUGUGGCGAAGCAUGGUCGAAGUGUGCUCACAAUGGAAAACAAUAUUAAUGAGGAACUACAGAGAAACUAGGACAGGCUGCAGUAGAUUGCUUUGCAUUAAGGUUUUUAUCUUUGUUGAGUUAGUUGAGGGCAAACUACUUCUGCACUAAAUGGAGAAGAGAUCAAAAUUGGAAAUUAAGAGCAAGAGACUGGCACAGCAAUAUUUUCAAAGCUGCUGAAAAAAAUGGGAUUAUAGGGUAUUAAUCAAAAUGGGAUGCUUGGAAGGUUUGCAUGUAAUGGCAUCUUUGUCAAACUUUUGCCUGUUUUAUAGGACAGCCUCAAAAUAUUAUGGGGCAUGAAAAAGCAAUGCAUUUCCUAAGGAACUGCGAACUGCUUUUUAUCGAGUUUAAAAGGAUAUAUAAAAACAGAGAGCUAGGUCUACUUGUAAUCCUUUCUUAACCAGUUUCUCGGCAGCCUGUUGCUUUCUCAGGUCCCUCCUCCGCUUCAGUUCUUAAGAUUUCAUCAGCCACUCCCUGUUGGUUAUGACUGGAUGCAAAAAAACAAACCAUGUAUCUCUGCACCAUGGGAUCAAGGCCAGUAAAAGAGCUCGUGAGCUCAUAAAUAGAUUCUCCAGAUGGUAUUUCCUUGUUGUUCUAGUGUUAUUACUGGAAAAGAAUGGAUAGUAAAAUUUCUUUCCUGGUGCUCUCUGUAUUUUCUCAACUUCUUCUGCCUAGGUUUCUCCCUCCUUCCUUCAAAGAGUUGAGUAUUAUUUGUAUUCCCAGGAGAACAUGUGGUUUUAAAAACUGGGGUGAACUUUGACUUGCUUCACAGAAGUUGUCCAGCUUUCCAGAUUCUAUAGCUGACGCUUCAUCUCCCAGAUUUUGGAAUGUAUUCAUGGAAGAUCCUUGACUUCAGAGCAACUCAACCAAUAUCUACAGAGGGAGAGGGAUACCAGAAAAGGGCUAUAACCAAACUGAUCGUUUGUUUGUGUUUAGACCUAGCACUACUAUUAAAUAACUAUAGGUAAAGGUAAAGGUUUUCCCCUUACAUUAAGUCUAAUCGUGUACGACUCAGGGGUUGGUGCUCAUCUCCAUUUCUAAGCCAAAGAGCCAGCGUUGUCUGAAGACACCUCUAAGGUCAUGUGGCCAGCAUGACUGCAUGGAGCAUUGUUACUUUCCUGCCGGAGCAGUACCUAUUGAUCUAUUCAUAUUUGCAUGUUUUUGAACUGCUAGGUUGGCAGAAGCUGGGGCUAACAGCGGGAGCUCAUCCUCCUCCCCAGAUUCAAACUGCCUACCUUUCAGUCAGCAAGUUCAGCAGCUCAGCAGUUUAACCCACUGCACUACCGGGGCUCCUAAAUAACUAUAGAUAAAGGUUUUCCUUUGACAUUAAGUUUAGUCAUGUCCAACUCUGGGGGUUGGUGCUCAUCUACAUUUCUAAGCCAAAGAGCCGGCAUUCUCCAUAAACCCUCCAGGGUCAUGUGGCCGGCAUGACUGCACAGAGCACCGUUACCUUCCCACAGGAGCGGUACCUAUUGAUUUAUAGUUAACAUUUUUACAUACAGAUCUAUACAAGGACCCGGGUUGUUGACUCAUUGCAAUCUCAUUUAAGCAACGGGAACAUACUGUCUUUUGAAGAAUCUCUUUCACACCUCAGCAUAAUUGUGCAAUGUUGCCACUUUGCUGAUGGUAAUUCUCUACCACUUCACUUCCUACCUGUGCUUGCCCUACCCAGUGCAUGCACACUGCAUUUUUCUUCUAUUUUGCUGCAACUGUACAGUUGCGCAGCUUUAACAUUCUUGUGAAACCAUCUUCUGCUUUGUAAUACUGGGUUGCAGCAGAAGGAAAUCAUCACACAAGGACAAAGAUGUUGGAUUCAUCAAUGCAUUUUUCUGAGCGAAAAGAGAUGAUCCUGUCAGGAUUCAGGUGCAAUGCAACUAUGGUUGUGCAUUGAUUGUGCUUUUCCUGCAUGGCAGGGGGUUGGACUUGAUAGCCCAUGUGGUCUCUUCCAACACUAUGAUUCUAUGGGGGAGCCACAACAUUGUGCGCAAAGCACUCGCAAGAGGUGCUUUUAUCCUACUGCAAUUUUGCUUUAGCAGCCUUGUGUGACAAAGUCCUUAAAUAAGUGUGCUUAUUGUGGUAUAUAAAUUCACAUAUUUAAUUGAAAACUUAUCAAACUUGGACUGAAACGGGAGGAGAAAAAUCAGACCAUAGUAAGGUUUGGGACUCAACCAUUCAGCUACCUUGGGCAUCUCCUGAACAAACCUUUCAAAUGUUUACAAGUGUUAUAAUUCACAUUUAUGAAGUUCACCAAACCAAACGAUAUUCAGACAUAUGUUGACAACUUGAAUUUUUUGUGCAGUUUAUAACUGAUCAGUGAACAAAGGUUUUUUCCCCAUUAAAUUGCUGGCUAGGGUCCAUGUCAUAGAAAUGCCCACAUUAAAGAAUUAGAGAACUUUGAUACCACUGUAACUUCCAUGGAAUUCUAGGAUUUCUCAUUUGAUGCAGGUUACUCUAGCAGACAUAAACAGCUCAAGAAACUACUUCCCAUAGGAUGGAUUUAUGGCAAUAAAAUGGUAACAUGGUGAUAUAAUAAUAAUAGUGCAAUGUGAAAGAGGCCUUGAUAUUGAUGAAAUUUGAAGGAUUGUAAAUACCCUCUCUUGAACCUUGUGAAAUUAUUGCAAGGAAGGCAGACAAUUUCUGGUAAAUUUCUAACAAAUCUUUACUGUUUUGACUC